ACAGCUGAAGAUUAAAUUUUUGGAAAAAUAAAAUGGGUUUAUCUUUGCAGUUAUUCAAAUCUAUCUAUCUAUAAUUUUAACAGUAGAGGUGAGAGUUUGGCAAGAGGAAAGAGUGAGAAAAAGUCCACAUUCCAAAUAUGAAAGCUUGAUGUGGGUCUACCUAGGAUAGCAGCGUCAUGCUCCUUGGUCAUAUCCAGCCACACAGUCUGCACUGUUCCUGGGGUAGGAGUGGGAGUUGGGGGAAUGCUUGCUUUACUUUAAAGUGACCUCCUUGGCUAAUGUUUACAGAUGUAUUAAUAAGCUUGAAGAGGGAGUCGCAUCCAGUUUUGUUGUUCUGUUUUGUUUUUUAAUCAAAAGGAAUAACAACUGAGGUCAAAAGAUUUUGAAGAAGGGGAGGACAUCUGGGGACUUUUCCACCAUUGGUAGCUUUUCAAAAGACCAAACCAUUUCCUUAUACUUCAGGCACACAUUUACAGGCAGAGAUUGUCCACAAUUCACAUUUCCCCCCUCAGUAGAUAUAAGAAGAAUGCCUUCACAGAUGAAUUGCUAAGAAAUAGCUGGAGUCUGGGUCAGUUCUCCUCUUUUUGGUCUGUGACCUCAUCGUCAAAGCACUCCAUCCUCCCUCUCUAGCCCCCUCCAGCAACCCCAGUAAAUGAGUACGCAUUACAUACAGGUAAAACUAUCAUAUCCUUAAACAAAUGUCCUUUUCAAAAGUAUAAUAUAAAGCAGACCUAGAAAGUCUGCUGCUAUAAUGAUUUCAUGUUUUGCUGAUCCUGGUCUUUUCUUUUGAAAGGCUUUUUAGUGGUCCCCAGUGAAAAGUUGAGAUCAGCAUUUAAAUUCAGAUCUAUCUUUUUAACAUACUUUAAGUCCUCAGAAGUCACUAAGUCUCAGUGGCUUUGAGAAUUUAUAAGCAUAUCCAGGAUGUUAAGGGUAACUUCCAUAUUUUUUUUCCAGGCAAAAUUACACUAAUUGAAAUUUGUAUUUUUCCUCCCCUUUGUGAUUUGAAGGAAACAUACUGUGGAAAAGAAAUAAGAUUUGUUCAAGACCAUUUCUUUGUGUGAAGCAGCUCUCCCUAGACAGUCAGGGACCAAUUAUAGGAAUUUCCUAUAUUCUUUGGAUUUUUACAGCUGAUAUCUGCUUGUUCCUUUCCUAGGUAACAGCAGCCUGCACAUGUGCAAUGAGACACAGGAAAGAAAAAAAAGAAAAACGAAAAAAAGUAAUUAUGUUGUUCCUUGUUAUACGCAGUUACCAGCGUUUGGUUAGAAUGCUCAUGCGAGUUCUAAUUCUAAAUGAAAAGAUUAAGGCAAAAGAAGCCAACAUUCUCUUUAAAAUUACCACUUUUCUGAAUCAAUCAACAUAUUCAUUUGCAUGUAAAACUUAGAGUUUCUUGCUUCCAUAAAAUUUUUCUUCUAUGUCCUUUGAAGUCCUACUCUCCUUUCUUUACACUUGUUAUAAAGACAUUUUUAUUUACCAUUAAAAGCCUGAGAAAAACUGAUCAAGGCCUGAAGCUUUCAUGUUCUUAAAGGUUUGCAUCUACAUGUUAAAUUGCAAAAAUGCAGCCACUGAAAACUGUCCAAGGAGGAAUAUAACAAAUAGCCAAGUUCCUUUGAACUUUAAAAAUGUUUUUGUUUUAUAUUAAGUUGUUUCCUGUGAUUUAGAACUAUGUCAGGACCUUCUCAGUUCUCAUGGAGAAUGAAAUCAUCCAACAAAACACAUUUUUUAUUGAGCAUCUACUACAGGGCUGAGACAGGGAUAAGGCAAGUGACAUACUAAUUAGUCGAAAUUUAAGGAGGUUUCCAACCUCUGGUUUGUGAUCAAACCUGAGCACACAAGCACCUAAGUCCCUGCCCUAAACUACUCUAUGGCACCAAAGGCUCUUCAACUUUAUUUAUUGACCAAUUUCAAGCCAACAAUGUUGCCGGAUAUUUGAGGAAAAAUUAAGAUGAACAAUUAUAUAGAAAAAGUGCAAGACAGAAACCUGACCUCCUAGAGUUUGUGAUCCUUGGAAACCUACCCAUCGGUAGAAACACAGCAAGCAUGACCUAGCAAGGAUAUGAGUUUCUGUUGCUGACUAUCUGAGCUACAACUCUGUUUCCUACUCAGGUGAUAGAAGACACAGUGUUUUCAAUACUUCUAAGUCUCAUUUAUGAAAUGUUAACAAUAAUAGUGCCCACUUUACAAGUAUAAUGAGAAUUCAGUAAGAUAUCUUAUUUUAAAAUGGAUCUAUUUUGUUAUUAUGAUUAUUAUUUUUUAAGAAAGCAAAACUAAAUAAAACAUCUACUUUCAUACAAAACAAAGUAGCAUUAAAGGGAAAAUAAAACCAUAAAUACAAAUGGCCAUGAAUUUUUAUUUGAUUUUUUAUGAUUAUGCUAAGAUUAUAAAGAAAUUGACAUUUCUACUUCCAUAAUAAAAAUUACUUUAAAAGCUUUUAUUUCAUAGGGAACUAUAUCUAAUCACUUGUGAUACAACAUGAUGCAGGAUAAUGUGAGCAAAAGUAUGUGUAUGUAAGUAUAUAUAUAUAAGUAUAUAAAUAUGUAUCUGUGUCACUUUGUUGUACAGUAGAAAUUGAUAGAAGAGUAUACAUCAACUAUAAAGGAAAAAAUAAAAAUCAUAAAAUUAAUUUAAAAAAUAAAAGAAGAUAUAUAUAUCAAACUAUGAGGUUUUGCCUGAAAAAAAAAGAAAAGCUCUCAUCUCCUAUAAAAAUUCUAAGAUUAUUAACCUGAAAACUAGGUAAUGAGAGUAAUAAUAAAAAUUCAUUUGUGUCAUAUUUGAGUUUUAAAAACUUCAAACAGUUUUACACAAACUGGCAUGUUUAAUCUUUACGUAAUCUUUACAAACACCCUAGAUAGUACUUUUAUUCCCAUUUUACAGAUGAAGAAACUAAGAUUCAAGGUUACAGAGCUUCUGGGAGUUCCCCUUGUGGCACAGCAGAAAUGAAUAUGACUAGUAACCAUAAGGUUGCAGUUUCGAUCCCUGGCUUCGCUUAGUGUGUUAAGGAUCCAGCUUGCUGUGAGCUGUGGUGUAGGUUGCAGACACAGCGAGGAUCUGGCAUUGCUGUGGCUGUGAUGUAGGCCAGCAGCCACAGCUCUGAUUCAACUCCUAGCCUGGGAACCUCCAUAUGCCUAUGCUGUGAAUUUUCAUGUGGCCCUAAAAAGAAAAUAAAUAAAUAAAUAAAAGGUUACAGAGCUUCUUAGUGGCAGAGGUGUCUGAUAUUCACUGCUGAAUUCAAAAUUCUGUAAAUUAAAGUCUUAUAAGGGUAAUAUAGGGGUUGGAAUAUUUUUGUUCAAUAUUCUGUUAUUAAACAUAAUUUCAGUUUUAAUCAAAACAAAACAUCCAAGGCAUAGCUUUCCAUAACAAUUGAGAAAAACACAUAACUAAUAAAGUGUAUUUCUUAAAUAAUAGGAAGUAAAAUUUGAAAUUACUCUUUGAUCCAUCAUGGGGUGCAGAAUGGAUGUGUGUUAGCAGGCAUGAAAACAACAUUAAUCUAAUUGUUCAUCUCCAUGAAAGCUCUUGGUUGACCAGAUGUACUGUCAACGAGCAGUAAUAUUUUGAAAGGAAUCUAUUUUUUGAGCAGUAGUUCUCAAUAGGGUGCUUAAAAUACUCAGUAAACCACGUUGUAAACAUUUACACUGUCAACCAGGCUUUGUUGUUCAUUCACAGGGCACAGGCAGAGUAGAUUUAGCCUAACUCAAGGGUCUAGGAUUUUCAAAAUGUUCAAAAUGGUAAAUGACCAUUGGCUUCAACUUAGAGUUACUAGCUGCAUUAUCCCUUAAUAAGAGUUAGCUUUUCCUUUGAAUCUUUGAAGCCAGAUACUGACCUCUCUCCAGCUGUGAAAAUCCUAGAUGGCAUUUCAUUCCAACAUAAGGCUAUAUCAUCUACAUCAAAAAUCUGUUAUUUAGCAUAGCUACCUUCAUGAAUUAUCUUAGCUAUAUCUCCCGGAUAACUUCUUCAGUGUCUGCAUCAGCACUUGCUGCUUAAUUUGCACUUUGAUGUUUUAGACAUGGCUUCUUUCCUUAUACUCCAUGACCCAACUUCUGCCACCAGCUUCCAGUUUUUCUUCAGCAGCUUCCUUACCUCUCUCAGCUUUCAUGGAACUGAAGAGAAUUAGGAUUUUUCUCUGGAUUAGGCUUUGGUUUAAGGGAAUAGACACGCUUCAUUUCACUUGAACUUUAGAGGCCAUGAUAGGGUUAUUAAGUGGCUUAAUUUCAAUACUGCUGUGCCUUAGGGUAUAGGAAGACCUGAGGAGAGGGAGAGAGAAUAGAGACUGGGGAACUGCUGGGCAGUAGAGCAGCCAGAACACACAUAUUUGUUGAUCAAGUUUGCUGACUUAUGUGGAUACAGUUCAUGGCACCUCAAAACAAUUACAAUAUUAACACCAAAGAUCACUGGUCAUAGAUCACCAUGACAAAUAUAAUAAUAAUGAAAAAGUUUAAAAUAUUAUGAGAAUUACCAAAAUGAGACACAGAGACAUGAAGGGAGCAACUGCUGUUGAAAAAUAUGGCAUCUACAAAUCUGUUCAAUGCAGGGUUACCACCAACCUUCAACUUGUAAAAUACUCAGUAUCUGCCAAGGGCAAUAAAGUGAGGCUCAAUGAAACAAGGUGUGCCUGUUCUGUACUUGUUCUUUGUGUAACCAUAGGCUUUCAGUGUUAUUCUCUCACCUAAUAGACCUCCAGGAAGACUGUAUCUUUAUCUGUAUCAAUAAAUCAUUUUAUUCCAUUAAUUGUACUGUGCACAACUAUUUGCAAGCAGAGUUAGUAACUAAAUCCCUUAAUCCAACUCACUUGCAACGAUCAGAUUAAUCUUCUUAUCACACCAAUUUUCAUUGUCAUUCUCCCUU
RNAcentral lists this long non-coding RNA (4839 nucleotides) under Sus scrofa (pig). RNAcentral's name for it is "lncRNA (ENSSSCG00035035142.1)". The record is from RNAcentral. Lineage: Eukaryota; Metazoa; Chordata; Mammalia; Artiodactyla; Suidae.